GCGGCCCCGCGCAGGCGCCCGCCCGGCCGCUCUGAGGGGAGUGAGGCGGCGGCUCCUGGCGACCUCCGGGCGCUGGCCCUGGGCAGCGCCCGCUCCCAAACCCUUCCUGUUACAGCCGCUGUUACAGUGUAUGAAUGCUCACAGGCUUCACGCAGUGCCAGGCUCCAGCAGCUUAGCAGGGCAACAGAAAUGAGGAAGCAGAAGGCACAAUGUGAGGUUUGAACAAACCUGAAGAUCGUGGUAGAAAACCAGUGAAGAAGCUCCCUCUGGAACACUGUGCCUGAAAGGGAUAGUGAGUUUAUUGAAUUAUAAACAUGAGGUUGUCAAAUACAAGAUGUGAAGUUACACAUAUUCUGUCUAGUCUGUCUUUCAGGGUAAAUGCUUUCAGAAUAUUGUAUUCAGCUACAGCGUCCUCAGUCUAAGAUAAAUUGCACAUAGUUAAAAAAAAUUGGGAAAAUUAGUAAAGAUUUGGAAAAAUGCUGGUUAAUAAGAGAUUUCAAAGAUCAAUAUAUUCACUUUAUUCAUUGGGAGUUUGUGAGUUUUACAUAGAUAUAGUCUUUAAGACACUUUCUUUAUAAAACAUUUUCAGCACAAAAUAAAAUUAUACAGUACAGUCACAGCUAUUCAGGUAUACUGAUGUAUGGCAAAUCUUGAAGCCAAAACUAGUCAGAAUUAAAGCUUUAUUUUAGCAGUGAAAAUAAUAACAACUGGAAUAACUUUCUGAAGGGUAAUUUUCUACAGGAUGGGAUCUGCUUCAUAUAAUAAUUAUAUCUUAGUCAAGCUCUUAAUUCUGCUUAGACAAUCUCUUAGUUUUUCUUUAGACUUUGAAGACCCAAAUAUAGCUGUUUACUAUAAUCCUCCCACAAUUAUAAUAUAUGGUUCACAACAUUUCUUCAAAUGCGUCCUGGAGCUUUUCACACUAAACAUAAUGGAAAAUUUUUCCCUUUGUUCUGCAGUAUUUGUUUUCUACUUGGAAAAGAUGAAGAUCACUACUUCCUCUGAGAUCAAAUAAAUGAGUGUGUUAGUAAAUUGGGUAAGGUGGGAGCACUGAACUGUUUCAGUUAGUAAACUGCAUUAAAAUGUGUCGGGGGAAUGUAUGAAGAGAAAUAUUACAAAAUAUUUCUCAGGAAUGUCAAAGGAAAGCAACAUAUACAGUUUACAUUUGUUGAACCAACUUAGCUGUUUUCUAUUUUAUUUCUCCCAAGAAAAGACUACGUGGUCCAAAAUUCUCUCUGAUAAUUUCUGCUGUGCAGAGGGUCUCCAACAUCAAUGUAAAGCUGUGACUGUCAGCAGGGGGUACUUAGACAUACUUCCUCACAGUGAGGAAGGAACAGCUUCUGUCCAGCUCUGGUAAAGCACCUUUGCCCAGCACCUGGCUGCUAAGUUCUGGGGUGGUGUAUCACACCAAGGAUAUUAUACCAUUGCCCUUCUUUGAAGCAGGAAGGAAAGAUAAAGGUCUCAAAGCCUUACAACAAGCUGGGUUAAGGCCUAGGAGACAUGCACCAUGUAAAAUGGAUGAGAUGAUCUAUAGUGACCCCAUCUUGAUAAUGUGUCUCUGUGUCUGAGACUGCUGCUCCCUCAUCCUUUAUAGAACAUCACCAUCACCAUUAUCCAUGUUGUCCAUUGAUCCCGUUUACUUCUAAUGAGCAAAGCUAAUUAGUCACAGGAGAUAGGAAUUAAAUACCACCGAAAGGGCAGCCAAAGCUGUUGUUCGGCCUGUUUACACAUACAAUGAAGGAGGUCAUGAACAAAAGCUUUGUUACAUCCCCCCAGAGGUUUUAAGGCAGUUUGACAUCACAGAUUUCUCUGUUUUCCUAGUUUUUCAUUUUCAUCAGCCUCUUACUUUAUUUUGCUCUCUCACUUUCUACUCCAGGAGUCUUCCACCCACACUACCCUGUUAAUAUACUCAGCCUGGCUGUGCCUGAUCCGUUACUUUACAAGGACCCAUGGCUGGUUUCUGCAGGCUUUCCCCAGUCCAGUUGCUACUUGCUGGUCCCCUCUUUUUCCAGAAGUAACCAUGACAACUUGUGUUGAACUCUUCAGUGCAGUUUUCAAUCUCUGUUCCCUAAAUUCUUGAUAACUAAGUUGCUAUUUGAAGCUGUCUUGUUAUACAAAAGCAAAUAUGAUUAUACACCGUGAUAAUGUGAUGGCCCCUGUCAAUAAUUGUAAAAUUUCAUAGCUUAAACUCUUUCAUGAAAAUUCCAUUUAAAAAAUCACAUGAGUUCUAUGAAUUCAAGUUAGGAUGCCAAUCAAUUAACUGAUUCUAUCACUUAGAUAGUUUUAAAAAAGAAAAUAAACAUGUGUGAGGCACCAAAAAAUUCAAAGUCUUACUGUAAGAUUAUUUAUAUCCUCAUUGUCUGGAAGCUUGAGGGUCAUCUAAACCAGUGAAUCAACUUUUUCCUGAACAGGGUCACAUGUGCAUAUCCCCUCAAAAAAAUUAUCAAUACUCAGAAUAUAUUAAAAUCCACAUUUAGAUGUUUACCGUUGAAUAGAUGCUGUGCAGAUUUAACUGCUGGCUUAAUUCAUUCUGAGACCUGCAAUGAAUUUUUAAUUACUGUCUGUUUAAAUUUCAGACUACUUCCACUAUUUCAGUGAGAUCAUCAAAAGUUCUAUUGCUUACAAGAUGUAUUUAAUUGUUUAGAGAGGACAUAUAAAUCUAUUUAAAAUAGGGAGAUGUAUGAUCACAGAAAGAUGAGAAAAGAAGCAGAAGCAGACGGUGUGUAAGAUCAUGAUGAUAGUUUGCACUAGUAUUUCAUUCAGCAAUGGGAAGAAAAAGCUAUAGGUAGUUCAUAAUAACCACGGAGACAUAAUAAUCUCCAAAUGUGCAAGUAACUGAGAGAUGCUAAAUCCACCAUUAAAUCAAAUGGCAUUUUUAACAUGUUUUAUGUCAUGGUGGUUUUGGUUUUAAUUAACCACUUAAUUUCUGUAUGGAUUAAUAAGGAUCAAAAUUUUGAAAGUCUUGAUUCCUCUUUCCUUUAGGAAAAAGAAAAUAAUUUCCUAAGGAUAAGAGUUACAAGGUAGAGAACUUUUAUAGUAACUGGUCACUCACAGCAAAGAAUUGGAAUAUGUAUGUUAUGCUUGCAUGACUGACUCCUGUGCAGGUAAAAACUGAUGAGUUACUCCAGCCAACUGUUUCUAGUAUUGUGUUCAACCUAAUAUCAAAUUGCAUAUGAGAGGAAGCAAAGAAUUUGUUCAUAAAGAGAAACUUCUUCACCCCCAGAAAACCAGAUGCAAAUGUAAAAUGAAUCAGUAAUGACCAAAAGCCACCGCUUUGCAGUGUCUGGGGCAGUACAACACCCUGAGCUCCUUCCUGAACAACAGCAUUUUGUGUCAAAAGAAACAAUCUUAAUUGUCAGGGGCAGCUGGCUGGGUACAAGGCGCUGCCUGAUGUGCUGCUUCACUGUUACUGAGGGUUCAGAGCUGGCAGUCUCUGAGAGCACUCGCUGUACCUGUGCAUGAACAGAGCAGUAGCACAUGGAAAGAAGUCUUGCCUUGGCACUAAAUUCCAAAUGACCCAGUGAAGCUGAUAUCCAGCUGUUACAGGAAACAAAGCCAAGGAACAACAGGACAUGAGCUCAAUGCAUGGACUCCCAACUGGUCAGCUGAUUUGUGCAGAACCAGGGAACCUGCAUUUUCUACCAGAGGUGUCAGAAGUUCAGAGUCUCCACAGACUCAUGCUCACAGUCUCAUUGCUGCAGCUGCUGCAAACACUGCGAGGAAAUAAGAGAAUAGGGCCCUGAUUUAAGAGAGCUUUGUGCCAAAGGAGUCUGGCACUGACCAUCCUAUCGAUAAGCUCGAUACCAAACCAUUAUGAAAUGGUAGUGACAAGAACACACAGCAAUCAAGGAGCCACAGAGCUGUUAAUAUUUGAUAGUGACUGGAAUGACAAAUGCAACAAGAGAAAGAGGGCUUGUAGUGGGAGAAAACUGUUGAAAACUGUUGAAAACUGUGGAGUUUCCAUUCGACAGCACAAGCGUUGAGGGCUCAGAACUGCCACAGUUAUGUCUUCAGAUCAGGUCUGGAAUACAGGGUCAGCAGCUCUGGGAAAGAAGGCAGAUCGCUGCAGCAGGAGCUGCAAUAUGUGAGUGGAGACGUGGAAAAGACAGACAUUUCUCCAUGUAGUGCUUGGAAAACAAAACAACAGCAGCGAGGAUCAGGAGAGAUCCGGGAGAAGCGAUCUUAAGUGGUGCAUUUCCCACAGCCCCGGCAGAGAGGGGAUGUGGAGCUGAGGAAGCCAGAGGGGAGGGCUGCCCUGGGCAUGGUGCCUCGGGCAGGAGCUGGCCAGGGCCCUGGCUGGCAGCCACAUGGAGCUGUCCACCAGUACAUUCCUUCCACAGCAGGAGAGAUGCAGGAAGGGGGCUGCAGUCCUGAGACACAUCCCUUGUGUCCCUCUUUCUUGUUUCCUCGCUAAGCAUGCUGGCCAGAGAUAGCAAAUGAGACAAUUGGGCCAACGGGCAACUAUUAAUAUACUUUGUUCUCUUAGCCCCUUUUUAUUUUCACAGAAGGCAAAGACCAAAGGCUUUUUAUCUGCAUGGUUUUGUUCAGUAGAAAACUGUAAAGCCAUGACCAGCAAGGUCUAACACAUUUCUUAGCAAUCAUUUAUUUUAAAGAAAAUGAAAAAUUUGUCAUUAAAGGACAAUGGGAAAAUUACAGAAUUAAGAAGUUCUCCUCAUACAGAUGAUGCACUUGUAGGUUAUUCUUGUCUCCUGCCAGAGAUGACCCAAGGCUUGUCCAUGUGCUUUGACUCUCCAGCACUUGCCUUGCUUUGUCAAGACAGAAAAAUCUUUGGGCGCUUCAAACUUUUCAAGUAAGCAUUCCCUUCAAAUAAUAACGCAUAAUAACACCAUGCUCCACUAAGGGGAACAGAGUCAUAGAACCAUGCAAUCACAGAAUGGCCUGAGUUGGAAGGGACCUUUAAAGCUCACACAAAUUCCAAUCCCCCUGCUGCAGACAGGGAUACCCUUCACUAGACCAGGUU
Cyanistes caeruleus (blue tit) is the source of this 4978-nucleotide non-coding RNA. The record is from RefSeq and is a predicted model, not a curated record. Lineage: Eukaryota; Metazoa; Chordata; Aves; Passeriformes; Paridae.